GAAGGGGAUUUCCAAUGUAAAUAUAAACAAAUGCACGCGUAAUGCAUCAUUUUAGAGUUUUAGUGACAAUUAAACGUUAUUAUGGCAAAAAACAUAGCUCAAACAUGUGGUUAGAAAGGCAAUCUAGGGAUCCAUACGUUAAAAGGGCACGUGAAGACGACUGGCGAUGCCGAAGUGCAUAUAAGUUAUUAGAAAUUGAUGCAAAACACAAAUUACUGAAACCAGGACAGCUUGUUAUUGAUUGUGGGUGUGCUCCGGGGUCUUGGACUCAAGUUAUUGUUCAGAAGAUAAAUUCAAAUAGCUGUGGUA
RNAcentral lists this long non-coding RNA (309 nucleotides) under Mytilus galloprovincialis (Mediterranean mussel). Lineage: Eukaryota; Metazoa; Mollusca; Bivalvia; Mytilida; Mytilidae. The record is from RNAcentral.